UGGGUAACCUGCCUCAUAGAGGGGAAUAGCCUUUCGAAAGGAAGAUUAAUACCGCAUAAGAUUGUAGCUUCGCAUGAAGUAGCAAUUAAAGGAGUAAUCCGCUAUGAGAUGGACCCGCGUCGCAUUAGCUAGUUGGUGAGGUAACGGCUCACCAAGGCAACGAUGCGUAGCCGACCUGAGAGGGUGAUCGGCCACACUGGGACUGAGACACGGCCCAGACCUCUACGGGAGG
Molecule: ribosomal RNA, 232 nt
Filed under: uncultured bacterium
Lineage: Bacteria
Description: partial 16S ribosomal RNA
Rfam family: Bacterial small subunit ribosomal RNA
Source: RNAcentral